Molecule: transfer RNA, 75 nt
Filed under: Escherichia phage vB_EcoM_PhAPEC2
Lineage: Duplodnaviria; Heunggongvirae; Uroviricota; Caudoviricetes; Pantevenvirales; Straboviridae
Description: tRNA-Met
Source: RNAcentral
UGGUGGCCCUGGCUGGUUUCGAUCCAGCUACCUAUCAGUUAUGAGCUGACAGCUCUCCCAUUGAGCUACAGGGCC